This 811-nucleotide ribosomal RNA is filed under the name uncultured bacterium. Its description in RNAcentral is "bacterial SSU rRNA". It matches the Rfam family "Bacterial small subunit ribosomal RNA", at positions 32 to 827 of the family's 1533-position model. The record is from RNAcentral.
AACGCUAGCUACAGGCUUAACACAUGCAAGUCGCGGGGUAACGACGGAGAAAGCUUGCUUUUUCCGGGCGACGACCGGCGCACGGGUGAGUAACGCGUAUCCAACCUGCCCUAUACAAAGGCACAGCCCGGCGAAAGUCGGAUUAAUGCCUUAUGAAGUGAGAAGAAGACAUCUGAUUUUCACUAAAGCUGAGGCGGUAUAGGAUGGGGAUGCGUCCGAUUAGGUAGACGGCGGGGUAACGGCCCACCGUGCCGACGAUCGGUAGGGGUUCUGAGAGGAAGGUCCCCCACACUGGAACUGAGACACGGUCCAGACUCCUACGGGAGGCGGCAGUGAGGAAUAUUGGUCAAUGGGCGAUAGCCUGAACCAGCCAAGUAGCGUGAGGGAAGACGGCCCUAUGGGUUGUAAACCUCUUUAGUCCGGGAAUAAAGUGGGCGACGUGUCGCCUAUUGCAUGUACCGGAAGAAUAAGGACCGGCUAAUUCCGUGCCAGCAGCCGCGGUAAUACGGAAGGUCCGGGCGUUAUCCGGAUUUAUUGGGUUUAAAGGGAGCGCAGGCGGUCUGAUAAGCGGGCAGUGAAAGGCGGUGGCUCAACCAUCGAGGUGCUGUCCGAACUGUCGGACUUGAGUACGUGCGAGGCAGGCGGAAUUCGUGGUGUAGCGGUGAAAUGCUUAGAUAUCACGAAGAACCCCGAUUGCGAAGGCAGCUUGCCAGUGCGCCACUGACGCUAAAGCUCGAAAGUGCGGGUAUCGAACAAGGAUUAGAUACCCCUGGGUAGUCCGCACGGUAAACGAUGGAUGCUCGCUGUUCGU